ACUUAUUUAUUUUAUUGUAAAUUUAAUUAUUAAUCACAUAAAUGGACUCAGAAAGUUUUAUUUGAUUGUCUUCCUUUUUGCAUAACGGGUUAACUAUAAUGAUCCUUAUAUAAGGCUUCCCGAAAAUAGAAGAUCUAACCUGUUCCCUACUGUAGUAAGUAAGUUAUUAUGUGGAAUUAUAAUAAAAAGAGAGCAGGUUAGGGGCGAAAAACCUACAAUUCUAUUGAUAUCUGGAUGCUAGAUAAAAGUAUUUACUACUUAAGACAGAUAUGAAGCAUUAAGGCUUUGUAUGGAAAGAAUAUUUAUUAUGAUAAAAGUAGCUAGGGCUAAUAACUCCUGCUAGUUGUAUAUAAAACAAUUUAUUCUUAGUAAAAUCUUUUUACUGUCUAGCUACAGGUUAGAACUGUUACUCCUGUGGAUAAUGUUAAUAUUAGUAAUAAAAUUAUAUUAAAGUGAAAUAUGAAAAAGGAACUCGGCAAACUAACACCUUAACUGUUUACCAAAAACAUAGCCUUAAGUUUUAUUUAAGGUGAUGCCUGCCCAGUGCUUAUAAGUAAAUGGCCGCAGUACCUUGACUGUGCUAAGGUAGCAUAAUCAGUUGGCUUUUAAAUGGAGUCGGGAAUGAAUGGAUUAAUAGGGUGUAGCUGUCUCUUUUGUAUUAUAUUGAAUUUACUUAUUAGGUGAAAAUUCCUAAAUUAAGAAAAAAGACGAGAAGACCCUAGGAGUUUUCACUAAUGGUUAAGGUAAUUAACUGUUGUUUUUGUUGGGGCGACAAGGGAGCAAUUUGAAACCUCCUUUAAUAAUUUGCCGACGGUGUAUGAGAAGCUAAACUACCCUAGGGAUAACAGCGUAAUUCUUUUAGAGCUUGCGACCUCGAUGUUGGACUAGGAAUUUGAUGGGCUAGCCGCCUAUUUAUAUUGUUCUGUUCGAACUUAUUUUCCUACAUGAUCUGAGUUCAGACCGGCGCAAGCCAGGUCAGAUUCUAUCUUUUUUAUUUUUAUCUUUAGUACGAAAGGAUUAAGGUAAAUUACUCUUGU
Molecule: ribosomal RNA, 1037 nt
Filed under: Elysia chlorotica (eastern emerald elysia)
Lineage: Eukaryota; Metazoa; Mollusca; Gastropoda; Plakobranchidae
Description: LSU rRNA
Rfam family: Bacterial large subunit ribosomal RNA
Source: RNAcentral